AUGAUGUGGUUUAAUUCGAUGCAACGCGAAAACCUUACCACCUUUGACAUGGCAGGAAUCCUGAAGAGAUUUGGGAGUGCUCGAAGGAGAACCUGCACACAGGUGCUGCAUGGCUGUCGUCAGCUCGUGUCGUGAGAUGUUGGGUUAAGUCCCGCAACGAGCGCAACCCUUGCCAUUAGUUGCUACGAAAGGGCACUCUAAUGGGACUGCCGGUGACAAACCGGAGGAAGGUGGGGAUGACGUCAAGUCCUCAUGGCCCUUAUAGGUGGGGCUACACACGUCAUACAAUGGCCGGUACAGAGGGUAGCCAACCCGCGAGGGGGAGCCAAUCCCACAAAGCCGGUCGUAGUCCGGAUCGCAGUCUGCAACUCGACUGCGUGAAGUCGGAAUCGCUAGUAAUCGCGGAUCAGCAUGUCGCGGUGAAUACGUUCCCGGGUCUU
Molecule: ribosomal RNA, 440 nt
Filed under: uncultured Allobrachymonas sp.
Lineage: Bacteria; Pseudomonadati; Pseudomonadota; Betaproteobacteria; Burkholderiales; Comamonadaceae
Description: bacterial SSU rRNA
Rfam family: Bacterial small subunit ribosomal RNA
Source: RNAcentral